Small nuclear RNA from Heterocephalus glaber (naked mole-rat), 105 nucleotides. The record is from Ensembl. NCBI's taxonomy places the organism in Eukaryota, Metazoa, Chordata, Mammalia, Rodentia, Bathyergidae.
GUGCUCACUUAGACAGCACACAUACCAAAAUGAAAUGAUACGGACAGGAUUAGCAUAACCCCUGUGUAAGGUAGCAUGCAUAUUUGCAAAGUAUUCCAUAUUUUU